GACGGAGGGUGCUAGCGUUGUUCGGAAUUACUGGGCGUAAAGGGUGCGUAGGUGGCGGGGUAAGUCAGGUGUGAAAUCUCGGAGCUCAACUCCGAAACUGCACUUGAUACUGCCUUGCUCGAGUACUGGAGAGGAGAUUGGAAUUUACGGUGUAGCAGUGAAAUGCGUAGAUAUCGUAAGGAAGACCAGUGGCGAAGGCGAAUCUCUGGACAGUUACUGACACUGAGGCACGAAGGCCAGGGGAGCAAACGGG
This 253-nucleotide ribosomal RNA is filed under the name uncultured bacterium. Its description in RNAcentral is "partial 16S ribosomal RNA". It matches the Rfam family "Bacterial small subunit ribosomal RNA", at positions 524 to 776 of the family's 1533-position model. The record is from RNAcentral.